GAAGCGGGAAAUGACACACUCGCACAAGGAAAGGCAUGAUUUGAUUCCAUUCCAAGGAACAAUUUUGUCCGACAUCUGUAACAACAGAGACUUCCUUUCUUCCAAUGGUUUCUUGAAAAUAUGUGCUAGCGUUUCUAUCAGAAGGUUGAGGCAUGAAUCUUGAUAGCAGAUAGCACUUUCUGAUAUUACAGAUUUCAUAAUAGGACCUAGACAUUUUUCUUUAGUUUUGUUUUUUUCAACCUCUGAAUACUGAUUUAAUGGGGAUAUCUAAGAUUGACGAAGUAACUAGAUAAAAAAUAAGAGAAAAU
This 308-nucleotide long non-coding RNA is filed under the name Olea europaea (common olive). Its description in RNAcentral is "long non-coding RNA (OEUR_LNC001296)". Lineage: Eukaryota; Viridiplantae; Streptophyta; Magnoliopsida; Lamiales; Oleaceae. The record is from RNAcentral.